RNAcentral lists this ribosomal RNA (478 nucleotides) under uncultured bacterium. RNAcentral's name for it is "partial 16S ribosomal RNA". It matches the Rfam family "Bacterial small subunit ribosomal RNA", at positions 28 to 523 of the family's 1533-position model. The record is from RNAcentral.
GACGAACGCUGGCGGCGUGCUUAACACAUGCAAGUCGAACGGUAAGGCCCUUCGGAGUACACGAGUGGCGAACGGGUGAGUAACACGUGGGUGAUCUGCCCUGCACUUCGGGAUAAGCCUGGGAAACUGGGUCUAAUACCGGAUAGGACCACUGCCUGCAUGGGUGGUGGUGGAAAGCUUUUGCGGUGUGGGAUGGGCCCGCGGCCUAUCAGCUUGUUGGUGGGGUGAUGGCCUACCAAGGCGACGACGGGUAGCCGGCCUGAGAGGGUGACCGGCCACACUGGGACUGAGAUACGGCCCAGACUCCUACGGGAGGCAGCAGUGGGGAAUAUUGCACAAUGGGCGCAAGCCUGAUGCAGCGACGCCGCGUGAGGGAUGACGGCCCUCGGGUUGUAAACCUCUUUCAGCACCGACGAAGCGCAAGUGACGGUAGGUGCAGAAGAAGGACCGGCCAACUACGUGCCAGCCGCCGCCGUAA